Molecule: long non-coding RNA, 704 nt
Organism: Carassius auratus (goldfish)
Lineage: Eukaryota; Metazoa; Chordata; Actinopteri; Cypriniformes; Cyprinidae
Exons: 3
Source: RefSeq, a predicted model, not a curated record
CAAGCAAGCGAGCACUGAAGAGGCAGCAGGGAUACAAAGAUUAAUCAUGGAGCAGGCAGACACUGCAACUAAUGCUUCACUGCAGGAGAGGAGCAGCUUCUGGUCGGCACAGCGUACUGUAUCAAGAAUGGAUUAAUCCACAUCACAAUGCAUUUACAAGCGCAGACAGCUUUUUGCUUAAUUGUAUGGCAGGUGCUCCAAUCAAAAUAAAGUGCACCUGUGAACAGAAAAUCAAGGAUUAGUUUAUGAAUCUAUUUGUUUGAUAUCAGAAUAGUCAUUAGAUCAGCUUUUCUGAAUUAUUAUGAAGUAUUUGUGAAUUUAUCUGAUUGCAUGACUACACAGCUGUUGUUUUUGUUUUUUAAGGUUGCACACACCCGCCAUGCAAGAAAAUACUUCUUGGCGGGCCGGCAUAUGUUUACAGCAACACGUCUCGGGAUAAAAUUACAAAGGUGUGGAUGCUGAGAGGAUGGGAAAUCCCUGAUGCAAUGUGGAAUGCUUUGAUAACUCUCUGUCUUCUACUUGAAAGCACGGGAAAGAAGAACAGACCAUGAGAAAUGGUCAGCUUGGGAUAGAAUCGGGUGAUGUUUCAAAGUCGAAAAGAAGAAAAAAGUUGGAUGCCUGUCAGACUUGAUCUCCAGAUCAGGCUGACUCAUCUGUCCCAUCAGAAGCAACACAUGUGAACAGACGGCUUGCAGCAUGGCUCA